This 408-nucleotide ribosomal RNA is filed under the name Boophis picturatus. RNAcentral's name for it is "partial 16S ribosomal RNA". It matches the Rfam family "Bacterial large subunit ribosomal RNA", at positions 2017 to 2591 of the family's 2925-position model. The record is from RNAcentral. Lineage: Eukaryota; Metazoa; Chordata; Amphibia; Anura; Mantellidae.
UGUCUCCCCGCUCCAAUCAGUGAAACUGAUCUUCCCGUGAAGAAGCGGGAAUAUACCUAUAAGACGAGAAGACCCCAUGGAGCUUUAAAUCCAACAGCACCUAUUACCCAUACAUCUUUAUAUUUUUUUAGCAAAUGCUCGUUCGGUUUUAGGUUGGGGUGACCAUGGAGUAAAAAAUAACCUCCACGAAAAAAGGCAUAAAACCCUUAUCAAAGAGCCACAUCUCUAUGAAUUAGUAAACUAAUUUCUGAUGAUCCGAUAUUCGAUCAACGAACCAAGUUACCCUGGGGAUAACAGCGCAAUCCGCCUUAAGAGCCCCUAUCGACAGGCGGGUUUACGACCUCGAUGUUGGAUCAGGGUAUCCCAGUGGUGCAACAGCUACUAAAGGUUCGUUUGUUCAACGAUUAA